UUAAAUUGAAGAGUUUGAUCAUGGCUCAGAUUGAACGCUGGCGGCAGGCCUAACACAUGCAAGUCGAACGGUAACAGGAAGCAGCUUGCUGCUUCGCUGACGAGUGGCGGACGGGUGAGUAAUGUCUGGGAAACUGCCUGAUGGAGGGGGAUAACUACUGGAAACGGUAGCUAAUACCGCAUAACGUCGCAAGACCAAAGAGGGGGACCUUCGGGCCUCUUGCCAUCGGAUGUGCCCAGAUGGGAUUAGCUUGUUGGUGGGGUAACGGCUCACCAAGGCGACGAUCCCUAGCUGGUCUGAGAGGAUGACCAGCCACACUGGAACUGAGACACGGUCCAGACUCCUACGGGAGGCAGCAGUGGGGAAUAUUGCACAAUGGGCGCAAGCCUGAUGCAGCCAUGCCGCGUGUAUGAAGAAGGCCUUCGGGUUGUAAAGUACUUUCAGCGGGGAGG
This 452-nucleotide ribosomal RNA is filed under the name Escherichia coli. RNAcentral's name for it is "bacterial SSU rRNA". It matches the Rfam family "Bacterial small subunit ribosomal RNA", at positions 1 to 447 of the family's 1533-position model. Lineage: Bacteria; Pseudomonadati; Pseudomonadota; Gammaproteobacteria; Enterobacterales; Enterobacteriaceae. The record is from RNAcentral.